Molecule: ribosomal RNA, 274 nt
Filed under: uncultured bacterium
Lineage: Bacteria
Description: partial 16S ribosomal RNA
Rfam family: Bacterial small subunit ribosomal RNA
Source: RNAcentral
AUACGGAGGGUGCAAGCGUUGUACGGAAUUAUUGGGCGUAAAGAGCAUGUAGGCGGACUAUUAAGUCUGGUGUGAAAGCCCGGGGCUCAACCCCGGAAGUGCAUUGGAUACUGGUAGUCUUGAGUAUGGGAGAGGAAAGUGGAAUUCCGAGUGUAGGAGUGAAAUCCGUAGAUAUUCGGAGGAACACCAGUGGCGAAGGCGGCUUUCUGAACCAAUACUGACGCUGAGAUGCGAAAGCGUGGGGAGCGAACAGGAUUAGAAACCCUAGUAGUCC